Molecule: ribosomal RNA, 398 nt
Filed under: uncultured bacterium
Lineage: Bacteria
Description: bacterial SSU rRNA
Rfam family: Bacterial small subunit ribosomal RNA
Source: RNAcentral
UGGGGAAUAUUGGGCAAUGGGCGCAAGCCUGACCCAGCAACGCCGCGUGAGGGAAGAAGGCUUUCGGGUUGUAAACCUCUGUCCUUGGUGACGAAACAAAUGACGGUAGCCAAGGAGGAAGCCCCGGCUAACUACGUGCCAGCAGCCGCGGUAAUACGUAGGGGGCGAGCGUUGUCCGGAAUUACUGGGCGUAAAGGGUGCGUAGGUGGCCUUUUAAGUUGGAUGUGAAAUACCCGGGCUUAACUUGGGGGGUGCAUCCAAAACGGGAAGGCUGGAGUGCAGGAGAGGAAAGCGGAGUUCCUGGUGUAGCGGUGAAAUGCGUAGAUAUUAGGAGGAACACCUGUGUCGAAGGCGGCUUUCUGGACUGUAACUGGCACUGAGGCACGAAAGCGUGGGGA